GGGGCUGUGGCUCAGUGGUGGAGUAUCUGUUUCGCAUGCAGAAGGUUUCAGGUUCAAUCCCUGACAUCCCCA
Gekko japonicus is the source of this 72-nucleotide non-coding RNA. Lineage: Eukaryota; Metazoa; Chordata; Lepidosauria; Squamata; Gekkonidae. The record is from the annotation of a RefSeq genome assembly.